This 372-nucleotide ribosomal RNA is filed under the name uncultured Glomeromycotina. Its description in RNAcentral is "eukaryotic LSU rRNA". Lineage: Eukaryota; Fungi; Glomeromycota. The record is from RNAcentral.
UUGAAAGGGAAACGAUUGAAGUCAGUCGUACCUGCGGAUAAUCAGCCUUUAGGAUGCGAUUUUGUGGAGUGUGAGGAGCUAAUCGCCUUCAUGCCUGCAUAUUCGUGCUCUUGGGUGUACUUGCUCGUGUGGUUGGUUAACAUCAAUUUCGGUUAUCAUAAAAUGGCUGGAGGAAUGUAGCUUCGAUCUCGUAUUGAAGUGUUAUAGCCUUCGGCAGAUGUGAUGAUUGGGAUUGAGGAUUGCAACGGAUACCCUUCGGGGCUACCUGUCUGAUUUCUGAUCGUUGCUCUGGUGCCGAAAGCUUGCUUACGGUUAUCAAAGUCGAUGGUCAAUAGGUUAGAACGGGUUAAAUUCGUUAAGGAUGUUGACGUA